GAGGAAGGCCUAAGGCAAUAAGUACUGCUAACACUUAUAUCCAUGGUUAAAUCCCACGGCUUCCUUA
This 67-nucleotide transfer RNA is filed under the name Triplophysa nanpanjiangensis. RNAcentral describes it as "tRNA-Ser". The record is from RNAcentral. Lineage: Eukaryota; Metazoa; Chordata; Actinopteri; Cypriniformes; Nemacheilidae.